RNAcentral lists this ribosomal RNA (305 nucleotides) under uncultured bacterium. RNAcentral's name for it is "bacterial SSU rRNA". It matches the Rfam family "Bacterial small subunit ribosomal RNA", at positions 338 to 660 of the family's 1533-position model. The record is from RNAcentral.
CCUACGGGACGCAGCAGUGGGGGAUAUUGCACAAUGGGGGGAACCCUGAUGCAGCGACGCCGCGUGAGCGAUGAAGUAUUUCGGUAUGUAAAGCUCUAUCAGCAGGGAAGAAAAUGACGGUACCUGGCUAGGAAGCCCCGGCUAACUACGUGCCAGCAGCCGCGGUAAUACGUAGGGGGCAAGCGUUAUCCGGAUUUACUGGGUGUAAAGGGAGCGUAGACGGCUGUGCAAGUCUGAAGUGAAAGGCAAGGGCUCAACCUUUGGACUGCUUUGGAAACUGUGCAGCUAGAGUGUCGGAGAGGCAA